GCCAGCAUGGUGUAAUGGUUUGAGCACUGGACUAUGAAUCUGAAGACCAGGGUUCAAAUCUCUGCUCAGCCA
Molecule: transfer RNA, 72 nt
Filed under: Phrynosoma platyrhinos (Desert horned lizard)
Lineage: Eukaryota; Metazoa; Chordata; Lepidosauria; Squamata; Phrynosomatidae
Description: tRNA-OTHER
Source: RNAcentral